RNAcentral lists this long non-coding RNA (530 nucleotides) under Homo sapiens (human). RNAcentral describes it as "non-protein coding lnc-C9orf43-6:1". The record is from RNAcentral. Lineage: Eukaryota; Metazoa; Chordata; Mammalia; Primates; Hominidae.
AGUGCCAGGGGGUGCCGUUGUGAGGGAUGGACGCCUCUCCCCCGGAGCAGCACUUUGGGGCCAGCUUGGGCCCUGGGGAUGAGCCACAGGGGACCCACAGCCUAUGCGUGUGAGCAUGUAACCCGGGAGCCAGCUGGGCCCCUCGCGGGGUGGGCAGAAGGACGGGCUGGCCCAGGACCCUCUUCUUUGAGACAUCCCGGACUCCAUCUCGGAUGAAAGUGCUUUGAGAAACCACAGAGUUUUCUGUUUAAUGGAAGAAAGAAAUCCAGCCUCUCUCCAGAGUGGCGGUGGCCGGCUAGACAGGGCUGUGGCUCUUACCCGUGCCGAGCUUUCACAUCCGCUCACAUCUGUGCUCCCAGAUGCCAGCGUGACCCCUGACACGUGUGUGCAGCAGCCUGCAGCUGCCCCAAGCCAUGGCUGAACACUGACUCCCAGCUGUGGGGCUUCACCAUUACAGACUCCCCAGGGCUUCAAAGACUUCUCAGCUUCGAGCAUGGCUUUUGGCUGUCAGGGCAGCUGUACAAUAGUGG